Molecule: ribosomal RNA, 301 nt
Filed under: uncultured bacterium
Lineage: Bacteria
Description: partial 16S ribosomal RNA
Rfam family: Bacterial small subunit ribosomal RNA
Source: RNAcentral
CAGUCGCCACGGUAAUACGUAGGUGGCGAGCGUUGUCCGGAAUUAUUGGGCGUAAAGGGCUCGCAGGCGGUUUCUUAAGUCUGAUGUGAAAGCCCCCGGCUCAACCGGGGAGGGUCAUUGGAAACUGGGAAACUUGAGUGCAGAAGAGGAGAGUGGAAUUCCACGUGUAGCGGUGAAAUGCGUAGAGAUGUGGAGGAACACCAGUGGCGAAGGCGACUCUCUGGUCUGUAACUGACGCUGAGGAGCGAAAGCGUGGGGAGCGAACAGGAUUAGAUACCCGUGUAGUCCCUGUCUCUUAUAC